CUGCUAUAAAGAAUCAACGAUUGUCAAAUUGUGCUUCUGUUAGUUACUUUGUUCUUGCUAGUUAAGCAAUUUUUACAGGACAAAUUAAACCACCUAUAUAGGUCAAGUGAAGCAGAACCUCAUAAUAGGAAACAAUAAAGGACUAAUGGUUUUCACCUGAAUCAUUUAUAUGCAGCACAUGGUUCCAACAAUAGUGGGCAGUGUGCAAAAUAUGCUCGAGAAGUGGAGUUAUCAUGAAGGAAAAGAAAUAGAUGUUCAUGAGGAAUUUAGAAUCCUAACAUCUGAUGUGCUUUCUAAAACUGCUUUCGGAAGCAGCUACGUGGAAGGACAAAAGAUCUUUGAGAAGCUGGGAAGGUUACUCUCUUUAGUAACUGCAAAUAAUCUUAGAGUGGAUCUCCCCAUCAUUGGGUAACCUUCAUUCUCUACUCUCUAGUCUCUAGCUCUACUUCAUUUAUUUUAGGUUCUGUCCAUAAAUUUUAUUUUCCAAAUAUUUGCAUAUCAUAAAUCUAUUUCCCGGUAAAUUGUUUUUCCGCCUAAAUCAAACAGAUCUUUAGGUAAUCAGGUCAUGCUGGAUCUAGCUAUAUAUAUGUAUAUAAUGUUGACAAGUUUCUUAUUAAUGACUGCAGAAAGUUGCUCAAUUACUAUACCAACAGCGAAGCAGAUGAACUUGAAAAAGAAAUAAGAGAAUCCUUUAUGCAGAUUAUACGAAAGAGAAUAGAGAAGAAAGAUAGUGGAGAACUAAAUUACUAUGGGUCUGAUUAUCUUGGACUACUUGUAGCUGCAAAUCAGGAAACUGACGAAGAAAAGAAAGUCACCAUAGAUACCCUGAUUGAUGAAUGCAAGACAGCCUACUUUGCUGGACAGGAUACAACUAUGGCGUUACUUUCGUGGGUUAUAUUUGUACUAGCAAUACAUACAGAUUGGCAGGAGAAAGCCAGGAAAGAGGUUUUUGAUUUAUUUGGUGAUAAACAUCCAACUACAUCUGAUAACAAUCUGGCAAAAAUGAAAAUAGUAAGUACAUCGACACUAUCUUCUUACAGUCCCUACACAUGCACUGUAAUAUAUUACAAUUUGUGAUGUUACUUUCAUUUCCCCUCUUUAUGCAGAUGACAAUGAUUGUAAACGAAACGUUUCGGUUAUAUCCUCCAGCUCUUACCUUACGCAGAUUAGUUCCUUGUGAAGUAAGACUGGGAAAGAUACUUCUUCCACCACAAUCACAUAUUGUAAUUCCUACACUAGUAGGUCAUACUGAUCCACAAAUAUGGGGAGAAGAUGUUCAUGUUUUCAGACCUGAUAGAUUUGCAGAAGGAGUCGCUAAGGCGGCUACAAACACAAAUGUUUUUCUGCCCUUUGGUAUGGGCCCUCGAAUUUGUGUGGCCCAGAACUUUGCAGGUACAGAAGCGAAACUUGCACUCUCCAUGAUCCUGCAACGCUAUUCUUUUAGCCUCUCGCCCUCUUAUGUGCAUUGUCCAAUUCAAAGUUUCAGCGUUUUUCCUCAACAGGGUAUUCCAAUUAUUAUUCACAAAUUGUAAGCAAAAAUUAAAUUAUGUCGUAAAAUCUACUCUGUGAGCGUCUUGCAUGCAGUGCACUUGAUUUGUCUAGCAAUUCUUAUCGAGAUGGGCGGGAUGUGAUUUCAUUUUUUUUGCACCUAGUUGUUUGGCUUUGUAUCUCUAUUUAUAGAGUAAGCAAAUAAGUUGUAAAAGCUAGUAUAAUAAUGUAUGAACUUCAGCAUGGAAUAAAUUGAAAAUUCUGUUUCUCUAGUAAUUAUAUAUGAGUUAAUACUUCCUUUAACAGAAUCUAAAGUAAACAGACAUUAAUUGGACUCUCGAGGGGUACUCGAUCUUAGCUGAUCAGAAGGCCAUAAUUUGUUUUACACAGUUCUGAAUAUAUAUGAACUCCAUUUACAGCACAGAAAUCUGCGGCAAAGUUUACUUUUUUGUGCAAGUGAUCAAAAGCCAUCUGAAGAAUUGUUUGAUCCCUAAACAAAUUCGAGGACAUCAUCGUUAGUUGCUUCUCCACCUUGUAGCUGGCUCUUGUGAUCCCUAAACAAAGCUCCCCAACUGGCCUUGCCUGGGUUUCCAGAGUGGCCCCAUCUGUGUUAAUAUUCAUGACAGCUUGUGGUGGGGGUAGCCAGUAAGACUCGAUCACCUUCAAGCUCCCACCAGGUUUGCAUUUCAGCCAAAGGUGUGUGUCUUUGUGAGGACUUUCUUGUCAUUUGUCAUAGAAAGUAUUAUAGUACAGAGUUUUCUGCAUACAGUGAAAGUGAUGUAGGACAUCUUACUUAACACCAAUUGGUUUCCUAUUUAAGUUCAUGUAUGUUUAUUUAGAAGUCAUUAUAACUUAUAAGUUUAAGAUUUGUAUUUUAUUUUCUUCUGUUUAGGAAUUUUUAGUUCUAGUUGAUUUAGGACAUUAAGAGCAUCUCCAUUGCACACCUAAAAUAAAUCAAAAACACUAACUUUGUGAUUUUUUUGUUAAAUACCCACCUUCAAUGCACACAUAAAGUUAGACAUGCACUCAUUUUUCACCAAGCUUUGAUUUAAAUUUAGUUCGAGCGUUGGCUUCCGAAAACUAAUUGACGCGAAACUGAUACUCUUACACGUGAUUGUUACUUUCACGCAAAAUUGAUAAUCCUGCGCCCAGUUGGUAAUUUCCCGCGAACUGUAAUUGAAUUCCAGACCAAAUUUUGGCCAGCCUAUAAAUACACCAUAAUACUUCUCUCAUUCACACCAAUUUACACUUUGUCUCAAAAUAAUUACCUUGAUAUGACGGCUCAAAGAUCACAAUCUCAAAAUGGAAGAAGUAAAAAAAAAUGAGAUAUUGAGUGGAGCAUCUCGGAAGAUAUGGCAUUGUGUAGAGCUUGGUAUCAAUUGGGGAAGAUGGACAUGUUCUAACUUCCAACUGAUCGAAAGAUAGACAUUUUUUGUGUUACUUCACAAGAAAAACACAAAACUUAGAAAUCCCCCCGAGAUUGCUCCUAUGUUUCCGAGCCUUCUAUGCUACAAAUCUCCAUGUUUUGAAUAUCUCAAAAUUUAAUAUCGCUAAAUAAAUUGGUAGAACCCACCUUAAUUGUAAGAUGUAAAAAAAUAAGAUUGUUAUUUUACGUGGAAUAUUGUUGGGUUUGGUUGUUUGAGUAGAUGCAGAACCAAAAUUACACCGUAAUUUCCAUAAUCAAACGAAAUGGUAACUACGUGUACCUUUGAUUCGUCUUUAGUUGGGUUUUACUGUAGCUAACUACAGGCCACUUUACAAAGUAGUAGAGAUAAGAGCAUUCCCAAUGCAAGGUGGAUUUUGGGGGUGGGGUGGAUAAAUCCACCUUGAAACCUAAAACAAUGUCCCAAGGGGAGGUGGAUUUUGAAAAGUGGUUGCCCACAGGUGGUAGAACCGGACGGCAUGUGACAUGCCGUCUGUUUUUUUUUUAGGUAUUACGUAGUGUUUUAAAAGUUUUGGACUCUCGGACGGCAUGUCACAUGCCGUCUCCCUAUUUUGUUGCAAAAAAAAAUGGGACGGCAUGUCACAUGCCGUCCGGUUUUUCUAAAAAUCCACUUUCUCUUAUACAAGAGUCUACCUUCCGUUGGGAACUCUCCACUUUGUAGAGUUUCACCUUGAAUCAACAAGGUGGAUUUUGCUUAGGUGGACCUACGUGGCGCCUACGUGGAGGUGGAUUUAUCCACCCUACAUUGGGAAUGCUCUAAGUUGUGGAGAUGAAUCAAUCCAACGUAUUGAGACAAAUAUAAUACCAUCUUGGCCACAUGGACUGACAAGAAAAAUAAAAGGCCGUCACUCUCAUGUUGUCUAAGCACUAAGCACCCCAACUAUUUAUUUAUAACAAGCGUUCCUUCAUUAUUGACAUCAAACAAAUGUUAUUUCAUAUCAUUAAUGACAUCAAUCCAAUGAAAUUGAGUCCUAGAUUUCUCACAUGUAUAAUGUAUUGAAUCCAUAAAUGCAUGCAAUGAUAUUCAUCCAUCUAAUGUGAUUACCACCAACUGACCAACUCAACAACAUCUGUUUUUAAUGAUUGUAUUUAGGUUUUAGUCCUUUUAGUAAUAGUUGAAUUAAUUUUUUAUUCAAUUUAGGAUACAUUUUAACUUACCAUUAACUUUCCCUCAUUUUAUUGUUUGAUAAUAUUUUUUUUUUUUUUUUUUAAAAAAUGAUUGCCAGUUUUGCAUUUAAAACAGAAUUUUCAACAAAACAUGUCAACCUCUGGAUUUUAUUGUAGCUAACUACAUGCCGCUUAUAAAGUAGUAAAGAGACCACAUGGAGUGAUAAGGCAAAUCAAAAGCCGUCACUCUCAUGCUAUCUAAGCAUUAAGCACCAUUUAUUUAUAUCACGCGUCCUCCAUUAUUGUUCAUAUCAUUAAUGACAUAAAUCCAAUGAAAUUGCGUCCUAAAUUUCACACAUGUAUGAAAUUCAUAAAUGCAUGCAAUAAUAUUCAUCCACCUAAAUUUACCACCUACUCAACAACAUCCGUUUUUAAUGACUUAUCUUAUGGGUAUUUAGGUUUUAGUCCUUUUAUUAAUAGUUAAAUUAACUUUUGGUUCAAUUUAAAUGGCUUAAUUUAGGAUAAAAUACUUGAAUCUUGAUCAAUUUAGGAUACAUUUUAACGUAAAAUUUUAAUUUUUGAUAAUUUCUUCAACAAACAUUUUAGAUGGUUCAUAUGUUUGGAUCUCUAGCUCUCAAAGGAAAAGGUUAAUAAUUCCGAUGCGUAAUACUUGUGUUAUGGCAGGGUAUGCAGGAGUUAAAAUGAGGAAGGUAAAAUGUUUUUUAGUGUCUGCUUGUUAAAAAAAUGUUUCUUGUGUCCAAUAUUGGUUUAUAUAAAGUGAAGGCGGUAAUUGAGAAACUAUUUAAGUGUCUUCUCAGUUGAACUUUUGUAAAUUUAGUUAUCUACCCAGAAAAUGGGUUGCUAAUGUGCGUAAGAUGGUGAACUUAAGAAAAAAUUAUUAAGGGUUUAGAUCGUCGAACAUGGUGAUAUUAGUUAGUUACAGUGAAACCUGUGUAAAUGCACGUCUUGGGACUAUAAAAAAAUUGUAAUUUAGCCUAUAAACAUUUUAAUUGAUAUUAUAUAAUGUAUUACAACAAAUUAAUAUAUAUAGCAUAGCAAAUAAAUAAAUAUUUUACCUUAAUCUCGAUGUAGUCGGUAUAUUAAUUUGUUUAGGUAAUGUAUAUAAAUUCUAAUUUAUGAAAUUACAUAUUAAAUUUAACUCUCCCUUUUAUUAAUGUAACGGACAUUUACUUUAACAAAUAUAGUAAAUAAUUGUAUUUUAUUUUUUUAUCAUUGUAUAAUUAUAGAAGGAAAAAUAUACAGAUGGGACAAAAAAGUAAGUGAGUUAAUAAAAUACACACAUACAUAUUUACAGAAAGGAAAUCUUCAAAAUACGCUAUCCCAACUAUGGGACCAAUAUUUUUUGUGCGAUUAUAGAGGGUGCAUUUACAUAGGUUUCACUCUAGAUAUUUUUGAGACUACUCUACAAACUUACUGUUUGAUUAAAAUAUAAAUGGAGUAUGGUUUUGAAAAAAAAAAAAAAAAAAAAAAACCUAAAACAAAAAGAAUAUCCUUUUAGGCUUUCCAGGAUUUAAUCAAAAGAAAAGACAAGUUUUUGUAGGCAAGUUUUUGUCGAAGAAAAAUCACACCAGAAUCACUUUAUUAGGAAAAAACCCCACAUUGAUUAACCUCAUAGGAACCAGAGCUACAAUUUAUUUUAAUCAGUGAACCUCAGCUACAUUAUUUAUUUUUUUUAUUUUUAUGUUUUUUUUCUGUUCGAGAAGAAAAUGCCAUCAAAGUUGUGUUAAUAGGUGAUCCCCAUAUAUGGCAGAGAGCUCCAAGAAAAAAGAACGUUAGAGCAGGACCUGAGGGGUUCCACUGCUCCAAAAAAACACUUCAAAACUUCAGAGCUAAAACACUUGGAAAAUUGAAACCGCACACUCCAAAUAAAAAAAAAAAAAAAAAAAAAAGCAGGAAGGGAACCCCUAAAAGAAAUAGUUAAUUUGAUCAUGACAUCUCAGCUCACCUCUGCUGGGGUCAUUCACAAAAACCAUACCUUUCACUAAGAAAAAUUAAAUUAAGACCCCAAGACACAGUAGAAAACUAGAAAUUAUAGUUCUUGUCCAACAAGUAUCAAACCAAUAUCAGAAGUUGGGGAUUUUUAAGUUCGAAUAUUUUUACCAAAGAAAAAAAUGCUAGCGUAUAAAAUGUAACUGAAUAAUUGUCACUGGCAAGACUGUUAAGACGUCGUGUGUAUAGGUACAAGUGUAUAACACUGCACUAGUUUCAUAAUUUCGAGACAGAAACUACCACAUUUAGUAAAUAUUCUUAAUGCUAUCUCUGUGAGAAGUUUAAGGGAAAACCAGAAGGUGCACAACAAUCAAAAUUUACUUGAAGCAGAAAGAAACUAUCUUCUACGCUUCAUUUCCUUCCGCUGCUCUGCAAUGUAAUUCUCCAUGUUUGAAUUCUUCCAUAAACGUCUAAGGACAAGAUCCUCUUUCAUAGACUCAUCUGAAAGAACCAACAACACUGUGCAUGAUGUGUCUUAUAGAGAUUGGAGAGAAAAUAGCUACAAGAUGACAUCAUAAAUAUAUGGAGUGUUUAAUUCAUUAUUUGGCACUCAAAUGAUAGGUCUUCUAUGAGGGUAAAUUUCCAGGUAUGAAAGUGCUUAAUCUAUCCCACAAUUUAUAUAUGUUGUUUUUCUUUUGGGUGCAGCAUGGGUGGACCAGUUAUGCAGCCAUGUGGGAACCAUGCAUCUUGCUUCAUAAUAGCUCAACACCACUCCUUGCUCAGUUCUUUUCAGAAUGAUAGCACUGAUAGGGCAUGAACCAUUACUAACUAAUAUAUGAACAUGUGGAUAGCAAUGUUCAAACAAUCCAACGAUUAUUUUGACUCUAUAUCUGAUAGAUAUAAGAUCAUCAUUUUGGGAAACGUCCACGGUUGCCUUGGUGACAACAAAUAAUCCACUAGAUGAAAGAGAUUUACAAACCUACCAACUACCUGCACUCACUGCGAGCUGAUACUUCAGGUUAUCUCUAACACCUUGACUUCACCAGAGCACCUUGAUGUACGCACAAGACACUCGACUUCUUGAUGAACACACAAGAAGACUCGAAGCCGAACUAUGAAACAAACUUACACCAGAGUUCCUUGAUGAACACACAAGGAUACCCGACUUCUUGAUGAACACACAAGAAGACUCGAAGCUAAAUCAAUAUAAACAAUAAUGAAGAAGAAGAUGAAUGGGGAAGAAGAAGAUGAGUUCAAUCACCAAAACAACCUAAAUCAAAACCUAAACAAACUCAAAGACUAGAGAUGAAUUGGACGACCAAAGAACUACCUUGUUCUUUGGAAGAGAAACCCUAUUUAUACUUAGGGUUGGAAAGCACAGAAAAUGGGCCGAAAUAGAAGAAAUCCACAUUGGACGUACGUACGUCGAAACAACGUUCGUACGUCUCCAUACGAUAAAAACUUGCUGACUGCUUGGACGUACGAACGUCCUAACUAGGUACGUACGUCCAGAACAACAAAAUAUACCUGCUGACUGACCUGACGUACGUACGCCCUAACUCAGUACGUACGUUCAACAUGAUGGAAAGUUUGCUGAUUUGAGGGACGUACGUACGUCCUAACUUGGUACAUACGUCCUGAACCAAAAAACACACGACACACUAGACGCGAAGACAAGGAGUCGGGAUGACGCGCGUACAACAAGGUUUUCCUAACAAUGAAAUCAAGGCGAGAUAACCAAGGACGACCAAUGUCACAAAAUUGAUGUCAAACAAACUUAGUGCCGGUUUCAAUCUCCCCCUUUGACAUUGAUUUUGUGACAAAAACCUAUGACUCUAAUAGCACUUAUAAAACGUGCUUACAAACCCAAACCCUGGCAUUUAUAAAACAUGCCUACAAAAACACUCAAGGUAGAACACAUACCAAAUCACCAAUUUUUGACAUCCAGCUUGAGCAAGAACCUUCCAUCAUCAGAGACCGAACGGAAGCGACUAAAAAUUUAGAACAACUCCCCCAUACUUCAUGAGCUCCAACUUUAGUUACUUGAGCUCCCCCAUAACUGUACAACCUCUAAACAUCAACACGUUCACUCCCCCAUACGUGUAGCAUACCUGAAACAUGACCCCAAAAAUAUCCUAACAACAAAGAGACGAUUGUUAGUAAUUAGAAUCAUAAAUCUCCCCCUUUUUGUCACAACAAGUGAACAAGAGAAACGAUUAACAGGAGAAACGAUAAGCAGGAAACAAAAAUAACCAAGAAAAGAAACCAACUCCAAACAAUCAAGACAAAACAGAUAGAAAGAUAAAACCUAUCCCAACGCGUAAAGUUUCAUGAAAACAACUAACAACCAAACACAGGAAUCCAUAAUCAUAAGAAACAGUAAAAACAGAAAAACAAUACUCAAUUUAACGAAUUCGAAAAAUUCGUUCCCAAUGACCUAGAGGAAGCUUUGAGAAAUAAGCCUCUGCACGUGCCGAAGAUCGAGUCCAACUAGCUAUCACAUGAUCAUCAUAAUCCUCCAGCCAUUCACCAGUACAAAAUAACUCCUCGAUUCUGUUGUCCAAGCCACAAUCGGUGAGAGGAGAAGCAAGUCCUGAAACUUUCGGGUAUCCAACCAACUCCAAGAUGUGAUUUUGAAGAUGUCCCGGCAAUCUCUCCCAAUGAUUGACAUGAACCAUGCAUGGAUUAAGAAAGGGUGGAUGAAUAUAGUCAUACCCAUGGGGAACAUGACAUAAGCGACAAACUUUCGAAUUGUUUUUGUAUUCCAUCACCAUAAACGACACAUAACCAACAGUCGGAACAAAUACCCCAUGAAGUUCAUAUUCUGCCAUUGAAAAUUCUGAAGAACAAAGACAGAACUAGAAGAAGGUAAGAAGACACAAAAUAGGUAUAAGAAGAGAAGUCAUCUAUAUAUAUAGAAAAACAAACAUUAACCCAACAUGGGCCCAAAAAGGAUAGGUCUAUUACAAAAAGAUAGUGUUAAACCGAAUAGACCACAGACGCACUACAAAGCUCCCCAAAAAUCGAUGGACUCGUACCCAAUAAAAAAACAGGCAAUAUGUUGAGGGAUCCAGACCACAUGCUCAAAAGGAAUGAGAGAGCACAUAAGCAACACACCAUACGUAUCACCAACCCCAAGGGAGAAGGUUUUUUUUUUUUUUUUUUUUAAUAUAUGAAAUAAGCGCCAUUCUCGUGUGGGAGUUUAAUACACUCCAUCUUUUACCAAAACACGAGGGUAGGGUGUAGCCUACAUCUUUUCGGCAAAACACACUCAAGAAGUGCAAUACCAUGGUAACGUGCAACACAAGAACUAACAUCUCUUGAGUGCAUCCGUCAGAGCAUGACCCUCACAGCCCCAACGGGUUCCUAGCCAACUGAUAAUGCGCUCAAGACAUUCAAAUGGUUGGGGAUUUCGUGAGUGAUUGACCACUUACAGGAGGUGACAAGAUGAGAAAAAUCCACACGAUAGAGAAGGGGUAUACCAAUAACAAAGUCUAACAUGUAAACCACCACGCAUUAUGCAACGUAAGCCAGGAGAGUGACCAUGAAAGAUCCCAAUGACCUUAUUUGAGCAGAAAGACUAAGAACCCCAACAUAUUGCACAUUAUUUAAGGACGACACCCAAAAACGAUAAUCAGAAAAAAAUGCCCUCAACCGAAUAUGGAGAACCAACACAGACCAUUACGACAAAACAACUUUACCAGAUAUAUACAGAAAAAGAGAGAAAUAAUAUACAAGGAAGAAGAGAGAGAGAGAAGAGGAGACUACCAGUAACAUUUAGGGAAGAGGAACAACCCCAAUGGACUUGCGCAGAGAAUGAAAGCGGGCUGCAUCAAGAGGUUUCGUAAGAAUGUCCGCGAGCUGAUGUUCAGUAGGAAUAAAUUCCAUUGCUAUAUCACCCUUCUCAACCGCCUCACGAAGGAAAUGAUGACGAAUGUCGAUAUGCUUUGUUCGUGAGUGUUGAACAUGAUUUUUGGAUAUGCUAAUGGUGCUGGUGUUGUCACAGAACAAGUCCAUCGCCUUCUGUUGGAUGCCAUAGUCCCGAAGCAUCUGACGCAUCCACAGGAGUUGUGUACAUGCACUAGCUGCAGCUAUAUACUCAGCCUCACACGUGGAGAUGGAUACGGAUGAUUGUUUUUUACUAUGCCAGGAAACAAGAUUAUUCCCAACAUAGAAACAGCCACCACUGGUACUAUGACGAUCAUCAAGAUUACCACCCCAGUCAGCAUCACAAUAACCUGCCACAACACUAUUUGUAUCUCUGGUAAACCAUAAUCCAUGAUCAAGCGUGCUACCAACAUACCGAAUGAUACGUUUAACAGCAGUGAGAUGAGAUUCCUUAGGAUUAGCCUGAAACCUUGCACACACUCCAACACUAUAAGCAAUAUCUGGACGACUAGCAGUGAGAUACAAAAGACUACCAAUCAUACUACGAUAUUCACGAAUAUCAACAGACUUACCCAUAACAUCCUUACCAAGACGUACCCUAUCACCCAUGGGAGUAUCUUGACCACUAGAAGCACUGAAACCAAACUUUUUGACAAGUUCUUUGGCAUACUUUGUUUGAGAGAUGAACGCUCCAUGAUUAAACUGCUUCACCUGCAAGCCAAGGAAAAAUUUUAGUUCCCCCAUUAAACUCAUUUCAAAUUCAGAACUCAUUAACCGAGAAAAAGAUUCAGAAAGAGAGGGACAAGUGGAUCCAAACACUAUAUCAUCCACAUAGACUUGUGCGAGAAGAACAUCGUUUUCCUUUCUCAGGAUGAAAAGGGUUCGAUCAACACUACCACGAACAAAUCCUUUCCCUAAUAAGAAGGUUGUCAGGCGUUCAUACCAUGCUCGAGGAGCCUGUUUUAAACCAUACAAUGCUUUUUGCAGUUUGAAGACAUGAUUCGGAAAGGUGUGAUCAACAAACCCCUUUGGUUGUUCAACAUAGACCUCCUCAUUGAGAAGACCGUUGAGGAACGCACUUUUGACAUCCAUUUGGUACAACUUGAAAUUCAAAUGGCAUGCCAUAGCAAGAAGAAGCCUGACAGAUUCCAACCUAGCCACAGGAGCAAAGGUCUCUCCGUAAUCAACACCUUCAAUCUGACUGUAGCCCUGAGCUACGAGCCGUGCCUUGUUUCGCACAAUCUGCCCAAACUCAUCCAAUUUAUUUUUAAAGAUCCACUUGGUGCCAACCACAUUAGUGUGAGUAGGUCUGGGAACUAAUGUCCAAACAUCACUACGCUUAAACUGACCGAGUUCUUCAUGCAUAGCAACUAACCAAUCAUCAUCAGUAAGAGCAUCAGUAACGUGUUUAGGUUCAAAAGAGGAAAGAUAACAAACAUAGUGAACACAGUUUGUCUCCUUGGCCUUUCGACGAGUCAGACGCUGGUCAUUAAUAUCCCCAAUGACAUCCCCUAUGGAGUGAUGUUGUUUAACACGGGUUGAUGCUUUAACAAACAACUCCUCAGGCUCAGCAGGCCCAGUGGAGGGAUCUGGAGACACAUCAACCGCCCCUGGCGGUGGUGAUACAACAUCAUCCAGUGUGGGCACAACACUGGUCCUACCAGGCAAGUCCUCUGGAGUAACCGAAGAAUUAUUAUCAUCAGCACUAUUAUCAGGUAACGAGAAUGACGUUGGAGACAUGUCAACAGAGUCUGACAAGGGUGAGAGAACUGUAAAAUCCUGUGUACCAGUAGAAACAGAAGAGUCAGAUACAAUAGUGUCAUCAACAACAACAUUAAAAGAUUCCAUGACCUUGCGAGUGUUGUAGUUAAAUACUCGAAAGGCCCUGCUAUUUGAGGAAUAACCAAGUAAAAGAGCAACAUCACCUCGACUAUCAAACUUAGACAGACUUUGUCUGUCCUUGCACACAUAGCAAACACUGCCAAAAACUCGCAUAUAUUUGAGAUUUGGCUUCUUACCAUACCAUAGCUCAUAAGCAGUUUGUGUAGUACCAGAUCUCAGAUAUACACGGUUCAUGAUGUAACAAGCAGUAUGGACUGCUUCCGCCCAGAAAUUGGUAGGAACAUUCUUCGCAUGUAACAUUGCACGAGCCAUCUCCUGAAUAACACGGUUCUUCCUUUCAGCGACACCGUUUUGUUGCGGAGUGUAUGGAGCCGAAAAUUCUUGCCACGUACCAUUUGCAAUGCAAUACUCAAUAACACCUGUGUUUGUGAAUUCACCGCCCCUGUCACUUCGAACAUGUUUGAUUUGAGUAUCUUUCUCAUUCUGAACACGAAGACAUAUCCCCUGAAACUUAAGAAACGCAUCAGAUUUUUCACGCAAGAAUGAUACCCAAGUAAAGCGAGUGUAAUCAUCAACCAUAACUAAGAUGUAUCGUUUGCCCCCUAAGCUAGGAGUACGAGUAGGACCCAUCAGAUCCAUGUGAAUGAGUUCUAAAGGAGAGGAUGUGGUUAUAGACUUUUUCUUGGAAUGUGGACUCCGUAUCUGUUUACCUAGUUGACACCCCCCACACACAGUUUCACGAUUCCUUCCAAGUCUAGGAACUCCCUUAAUAUAUUCAUUUCGAGUUAGAUUGUCUAGGAGUUCAAAGUUGACAUGACCUAGCCGUUGAUGCCACAACAGACCCUCAUUCAGUUUGCUAGGUAAGCAGUUUAUACCAGGUGCAACAGGCUGAAUAGCAUAGCAAUUAUCCAAUGUGCGUUUACCUGUCAUGACACACUUACCCAAACUAUCAAGAACAGUACAUAUAUUUUUAGAAAAAUUAACAGUAUGAUCAGUAUCGCACAGUUGGCUAAUACUGAUCAAAUUAACACGCAACCCAUCAACUAAUAAACAAACAUCAUUCGAGGAUAGACAAAUACCAGUAACAAAACCUUUACCAAUGACAGGAGCGCGCUUACCAUUACCAAAAGUGACACUUCCACCAUCUAUAGCAGUAACGGAGGAGAAAAGUUUGGCAUUACCUGACAUAUGUUUCGAAGCACCACUAUCAAGUAGCCAUUCACUAUCCGAGCUCGAAACAUGAAGAGCAGUAAUUGCCACAUUUGAAACAUUGCCUGCAAGGUUACAAGGAGCAGAGUAAGAUGCGUAUGGAUAAGAUGGAUAGACAUACGAUGGCUGUGAGAACAGCGGCCAUGGUUGUGGAACAGGAGCGGCCACGACACACUGCGAUGCCCAAUGUCCAAACUGCCCACAUAAUGAGCAAGUCAUUUGACGUUUUCUUCCCUGAAGAGGAGCACGCCUAAACGGUUUCCAGUUACGCCCGAUGCCUACCGUGGCCACAGAUUGAUGAUUGUUAGACUUUUUGGUAGGAGGAUUUGGCAAUAGCGGAGGUAGUUCAGAAGAUGACAGCCCAUUGCAAUUUUCAAAAGACUUAAGGCGAACCAGUUCCUUUUUGACAUCCUCGAGUUCAGUAGACAAAAUACUACACCGGACUUCCCAUUCAACAUUGUCGUGCUCAAGAACAGUAAGAUUGCUCAAUAAGUUCACCUUAUCAAUCCGCCAAGAUUCAGUUUUCCUAUCCAAGGUUGACAUGGGCGAAGAACUAGAAGAGAGUAAGUCAAGUCUGUCUUGAAGAAUACUAUUUUGUGCCUCUAACCGUAGACAUUCCUUUCUGGAUAAUCGGUACAGGGUAGCCCAAUCAUCAUUGUCAACAAGAAUCAAUUCCCUGUCACAGUCACUAGAGCAUUCUUUACUAGCAGUUGAUUGUUCAUCAGACAAUCGAGCCACAACCGAGACAUGUGUCUUACCAGAGUAAAUCAUAGCACUAGAAGGAUCUACGCGUGAGCCAUUAUGCUCCAUAACAAGUGCCCUGCGACUGAUACCAAUUGAAGAACACAGAUAGUGCUAAUCUCACAGUUUAAUAUUCAAAACAAAACAAACGAUAACUAGAAAGUGAAUAACACGCAGGAAUUUUUAACGUGGUAAAACCCAAUUUGGGAAACGUCCACGGUUGCCUUGGUGACAACAAAUAAUCCAAUAGAUGAAAGAGAUUUACAAACCUACCAACUACCUGCACUCACUGCGAGCUGAUACUUCAGGUUAUCUCUAACACCUUGACUUCACCAGAGCACCUUGAUGUACGCACAAGACACUCGACUUCUUGAUGAACACACAAGAAGACUCGAAGCCGAACUAUGAAAUAAACUUACACCAGAGUUUCUUGAUGAACACACAAGGAUACUUGACUUCUUGAUGAACACACAAGAAGACUCGAAGCUAAAUCAAUAUAAACAAUAAUGAAGAAGAAGAUGAAUGUGGAAGAAGAAGAUGAGUUCAAUCACCAAAACAACCUAAAUCAAAACCUAAACAAACUCAAAGACUAGAGAUGAAUUGGACGGCCAAAGAACUACCUUGUUCUUUGGAAGAGAAACCCUAUUUAUACUUAGGGUUGGAAAGCACAGAAAAUGGGCCGAAAUAGAAGAAAUCCACAUUGGACGUACGUACGUCGAAACAACGUUCGUACGUCUCCAUAUAAUAAAAACUUGCUGACUGCUUGGACGUACGAACGUCCUAACUAGGUACGUACGUCCAGAACAACAAAAUAUACCUGCUGACUGACCUGACGUACGUACGCCCUAACUCAGUACGUACGUUCAACAUGAUGGAAAGUUUGCUGACCUGAGGGACGUACGUACGUCCUAACUUGGUACGUACGUCCUGAACCAAAAAACACACGACACACUAGACGCAAAGACAAGGAGUCGGGAUGACGCACGUACAACAAGGUUUUCCUAACAAUGAAAUCAAGGCGAGAUAACCAAGGACGACCAAUGUCACAAAAUUGAUGUCAAACAAACUUAGUGCCGGUUUCAGUUCUUGGUUUAUAACACCACCAAAUCCGGUUAUUAUUGGCAAGCAGGGUUGAGGGGACCCCUACUCUUUUUAAAUUACUUGUGGAAACUUCUAUCAACAAUCAGGGAACCCACGACCUCUCCACUUUGUGAGAGGGGUGCUACCAUUGAGCCACAAGCUCAUUCGUAAUUUGUGGAGUUAUUACAUUAUAGGUUAUAUUUGGUAUUAAUUGGUACAUUAAAUGAAAAUGACUUAAAUAAUGUUAAUCCUACGACUACGAUUGUCUUAAUAGACAACUAAAGGUUAGGAUUGUUUUUUCACAUCUAAGGGCUAUUAUUACAUCGAUUGUAUAAUUUAAUGUACAUCUAAUGAUUGUGGUUGUCUCACUAGACAUCUAACGGCUGUGUUUAUGAGACCGCUUAGUAAUAUUAUAUAGAUAUGGCAUUAUGGCUGUAAGUUAUCGUGUGUGAUUCGUGUAUAAUGAAUUUUAUAUGUUGUGAUUCUUUGGUGUGGGAUUUGUGGAUCAAUAAGUUACUAUUACGCAUGGUGUUGUUAACCCUAGUAAUUUUAUAGACACGUGAAAAUUUUCAUUAAUCUCACAAACCCACGCCAAAAAUUCACAACAUGUAUGGCUAUUUUGACCAAAAAAAAGUUGAUGCUUUUCGUACUACCAAUAAUGCAAACAAAAACACAUUGAAAAAAAAAAUAUAUUCUAAGAUUUAGUCCACAUAAAACGUGUUUGCUAAUAAUAAAUGCUAAACAUGUGGUUCUUCCUUGAUGACAUAAAUAUAGGGUCCCCUCAACCUGCUUGCUAAUAAUAAAUGCUAAACACAUUUUUUUGCAAUAAAAUCCCAAAAGUACGCUUAUAUUCUAUCUAUAAAAAGAGAGACUUGUUAGCAGAAUAUACAAGCAUCAAUUCGAGUUUGAGUGUAUUGUAGAGAUGUUGAGUGUAGUAGCAUACAUAGCCAUCUUGAUUCCAAGUUUUUUGUUGAUUCAGUUCUUCUACAAAGCAUGGUGGAAACCAAUUCGAAUACAAAAGCGAAUGAGGGCACAAGGAAUUAAAGGACCUUCUUACAAUUUUCUUCAUGGAAAUACUAAAGAAGUUCAAGACAUGAAAAUCGAAGCCACGAAGACUACGUUGCCCACAUUGUCGAAUGAAAUCCUUCCAAGAGUUCAGCCUCACAUAUAUUUAUGGACAAAAUUAUACGGUAUGUUGAGUGUAGUAGUAGAUCACUAUGUCAAUUUUUUUCUUCUAUAUAUGUACACAUUUUCAGAUCAUAUAUGAUGACUGACUAAUAAAUGCAGGAAGGAAUUUUCUAAGCUGGCAUGGAGAUAGAGCUGAACUGCAUGUUACUGAACCUGAUCUUAUUAAGGAAGUUCUACUUAAUAAGAAUGGAGUAUAUAAAAAGUCAGUUGGAGAAAAAUACAUGCACAAGGUGAUGGGAGAUGGACUUGGAAUCGCCGAAGGCAAAAAGUGGAUGACACAACGUAAAUUGGCAAAUCAUGCAUUCCAGAUUGAGAAGUUGAAAGUAUGUCUUCUGCUAUAAAGAAUCAACGAUUGUCAAAUUGUGCUUCUGUUAGUUACUUUGUUCUUGCUAGUUAAGCAAUUUUUACAGGACAAAUUAAACCACCUAUAUAGGUCAAGUGAAGCAGAACCUCAUAAUAGGAAACAAUAAAGGACUAAUGGUUUUCACCUGAAUCAUUUAUAUGCAGCACAUGGUUCCAACAAUA
This 16462-nucleotide long non-coding RNA is filed under the name Aquilegia coerulea. Its description in RNAcentral is "long non-coding RNA (ACOE_LNC001072)". Lineage: Eukaryota; Viridiplantae; Streptophyta; Magnoliopsida; Ranunculales; Ranunculaceae. The record is from RNAcentral.